GCAUGGCUGAAUACUGUGUCUUUCUGUCAGUAAUUUACACAGCCAGACACCAUGCAAAAGUGUGUCUUCCCUUUAAGAUGUUCAUGAUGUGUGCUACAUUUUGUUCAUGGCAUAUCAUUAGUAAAGGUGAAUACAAAU
RNAcentral lists this small nucleolar RNA (138 nucleotides) under Procavia capensis (Cape rock hyrax). RNAcentral describes it as "Small nucleolar RNA SNORA15 (ENSPCAG00000019502.1)". It matches the Rfam family "Small nucleolar RNA SNORA15". From Rfam's summary of the family: ACA15 is a member of the H/ACA class of snoRNA that guide the sites of modification of uridines to pseudouridines. Lineage: Eukaryota; Metazoa; Chordata; Mammalia; Hyracoidea; Procaviidae. The record is from RNAcentral.